Molecule: long non-coding RNA, 1151 nt
Organism: Oryzias melastigma (Indian medaka)
Lineage: Eukaryota; Metazoa; Chordata; Actinopteri; Beloniformes; Adrianichthyidae
Exons: 2
Source: RefSeq, a predicted model, not a curated record
GUUGUAGUGAACACUUAGAAAACCCGUCAAGGUGAGAACACCCAUAGAAAAAAUGAACAUUUCUCUCUUCGGAUUCACCGACUGAUCCCCCAUCUGGAUAUUUCAUCCGGACACGUACACGUCUUGUACAGGUCUGAGCAUUUUUCCCGAUCCGUUCUUCCUGAUCAUGUGUAGACAUGAACUUUUAGGUUUUUAAGGUUCGACUUUAAAUCCUCAGAACCCGGAAUGACAGCUGGACCGGCGCCGCCGCCACAGAACGAAGACAGAGCGAAGACCUUUUAUAUCCAAUAUUCACUCUCCCCGUUAUUGCUUUUCUCGACACGGCUGAGCUGAGGUAUGAUGCAGCGGUCUGAGGAGGAUGGACCGGCCCGGUGACGAGGCGGCGUGACGAGGAGGCGGAGUUUGAUGAUUUGAGACACGAAGAAGCAUGAGAGUUCAGCUGACUCACCGUCACCUCCGGCCCUCCUCCAGCUCUGUCCACGCUCAGGUGUUCAUCCGAGCCUUUCAGCUUCCUCACCUGGAACCAAACAGGCAGGCAUCAGCAUGGCGGCGGAAGUCUCAUACUGAUAGAAGACUCGUCUGCUCUCCAUCCCGUUGUGACCAGAGGGAUAAAGAACCUUCUGCUUAUUGAAGACCCGAUUGAAAGAAUUGCGGCUAUUAAAGGAAGCCAGACAUUGAUGCAGAGAAAUCGAAUGAACCUCCACAGGACACUUAACAAAAACAGACGGAGAUCGAUGCAGAACGGAGGAGAACAUCUCUGGGAGGACAGUCGAUGGCGUGGAAAAGCUCCACGCCGAGUCAGGCAGAGGUCAUGUGAUGAUGGCAGGCGGCGGAGCUCGUGUCUUAUUACUCUGAUGUCUUUGGUGAAUAUCAUGAGUGUCUUUAGUAGUUUAGAUAUCUUCUUGUUUUGUGUCCAUAAUCUUUGUGUUCUAAUGUUUUAUUUAACUUUAGAGUUUUUGUUUUUGUUUUUUAUUUAUGAUUUCAAUUUCCUCUUAAAUUAUGGGAAUUUUCUUUCUCCUAUUAUGAAUUAUUUCUGGAUCUUAUUUGGCAAAAAGUCGUCAAAUGUCUGGUUCUUUGUGAGGCCACAGAUGAAAAUAAGAAUUUGUUCGUAAUCUGUCUUGCCUGAAUAAAUAAAAUAAAAUAAAAUAAAA